CACGUAGGGUGCGAGCGUUGUCCGGAAUUAUUGGGCGUAAAGAGCUCGUAGGCGGUGUGUCGCGUCGGCCGUGAAAACCUGCAGCUUAACUGUGGGCUUGCGGUCGAUACGGGCAUCACUGGAGUUCGGCAGGGGAGACUGGAAUUCCUGGUGUAGCGGUGAAAUGCGCAGAUAUCAGGAAGAACACCCGUGGCGAAGGCGGCUCUCUGGUACGGAACUGACGCUGAGACGCGAAAGCGUGGGGAGCGAACAGG
Molecule: ribosomal RNA, 254 nt
Filed under: uncultured bacterium
Lineage: Bacteria
Description: partial 16S ribosomal RNA
Rfam family: Bacterial small subunit ribosomal RNA
Source: RNAcentral